RNAcentral lists this ribosomal RNA (497 nucleotides) under uncultured bacterium. RNAcentral describes it as "partial 16S ribosomal RNA". It matches the Rfam family "Bacterial small subunit ribosomal RNA", at positions 28 to 507 of the family's 1533-position model. The record is from RNAcentral.
GAUGAACGCUGGCGGCGUGCCUAAUACAUGCAAGUCGAGCGAACAGACGAGGAGCUUGCUCCUCUGACGUUAGCGGCGGACGGGUGAGUAACACGUGGAUAACCUACCUAUAAGACUGGGAUAACUUCGGGAAACCGGAGCUAAUACCGGAUAAUAUAUUGAACCGCAUGGUUCAAUAGUGAAAGACGGUUUUGCUGUCACUUAUAGAUGGAUCCGCGCCGCAUUAGCUAGUUGGUAAGGUAACGGCUUACCAAGGCGACGAUGCGUAGCCGACCUGAGAGGGUGAUCGGCGACACUGGAACGGAGACACGGUCAAGACUCCUACGGGAGGCAGCAGUAGGGAAUCGUCCGCAAUGGGCGAAAGCAUGACGGAGCAACGCCGCGUGAGUGAUGAAGGUCUUCGGAUCGUAAAACUCUGUUAUUAGGGAAGAACAAAUGUGUAAGGAACUAUGCACGUCUUGACGGUACCUAAUCAGAAAGCCACGGCUAACUACGUG